This 798-nucleotide unclassified non-coding RNA is filed under the name Hevea brasiliensis (rubber tree). The record is from RNAcentral. Lineage: Eukaryota; Viridiplantae; Streptophyta; Magnoliopsida; Malpighiales; Euphorbiaceae.
AUGAACUCAAGAAAUGCAUUAUAUUUGAUUUAUUCAAAAUCUAGUAUCUUAUAAAGCUUCCAAUAUAAUCAGAUGUCAUAGAUACAUUUGGAAACAAGUGGACACAAGUAAACCAUGGGAAAAGGUUACAAAAUCUUAGAAAAAAAUAAGCCAAAAAUAUUUAAAUGUGGAACCAAUUAGUAACACCAGUUGAAAUUAAGAGCAUUAUUUGAAACAUAUUUACCUAGCAAACAAGCUCAAUCCCUUAAUCACCACUUCAUAAAACAUAAUUCUAUUUUGCAUUUCAUCAAACACCUUGUGUCCAAACUUAAUCCCUCCUUUGCCAUAGAUAUCUUGAGUGCUACUAUUAUCCAUUUAGCUGGCUUUCUCAUUUUUUAUCCUCUUGUUCAGCUAAUGCUUUUAUUCCUCUUCUAACCAAUUCCCACCCCGAAACAACACACGCAGAAAGAAAAGAGAAAGGAAAAUAAGAAGAUGAAAGAAUAAUUACCUUCUGUAGGUUAUAUGUCAAAGCAUCAAUUAAAUCAUUAGAACCUGAAUUGCAAGCAGUCAAUUGUAUAGAUGUGAUACCGCAAGUUUCAGCAAGACUUGAUGGGGAAAUGUAUUUUUUUCUUUAGCGAAAACAUCACUGCUAUUAAUUGAAUAAUGGAUAAGCAAGUCCACCAUUUUCCUACAUCUCCUUUUGAUAGCUUGGCUCUCAAACUAAAUCUCAGACAAGAUCGCCGUUAACUUAUGAAUAGCCUUCUCACGUCCAAAUUUCUUUCUAUCAUCAUGUCAAAAAUUGUUUGGGCCAACAUACAA